This 387-nucleotide ribosomal RNA is filed under the name Enterococcus faecium. RNAcentral's name for it is "bacterial SSU rRNA". It matches the Rfam family "Bacterial small subunit ribosomal RNA", at positions 338 to 717 of the family's 1533-position model. Lineage: Bacteria; Bacillati; Bacillota; Bacilli; Lactobacillales; Enterococcaceae. The record is from RNAcentral.
CCUWCGGGAGGCAGCAGUAGGGAAUCUUCGGCAAUGGACGAAAGUCUGACCGAGCAACGCCGCGUGAGUGAAGAAGGUUUUCGGAUCGUAAAACUCUGUUGUUAGAGAAGAACAAGGAUGAGAGUAACUGUUCAUCCCUUGACGGUAUYUAACCAGAAAGCCACGGCUAACUWCGUGCCAGCAGCCGCGGUAAUACGUAGGUGGCAAGCGUUGUCCGGAUUUAUUGGGCGUAAAGCGAGCGCAGGCGGUUUCUUAAGUCUGAUGUGAAAGCCCCCGGCUCAWCCGGGGAGGGUCAUUGGAAACUGGGAGACUUGAGUGCAGAAGAGGAGAGUGGAAUUCCAUGUGUAGCGGUGAAAUGCGUAGAKAUAUGGAGGAACRCCAGUGGSG